UUUGGCCAUGAUGAUAUGGAUUGCUGGUACAAUACCACUGCAGGCAAUGGUACAGACAAUACUAAAGGAACAAAGGACAGGGUGCAAGAUCCAUAAAGGAGAUCAAAGACUAAAGCAGUCCGGAGAGAGUGGCUCAUUAAGAAACAACAUGACAAUAUGCAGGAGACACCUCCUGAGAAGGCUGAAUCAAGUAAGGCUAUGGAAGAGAAGCAGGUCUUGCCAAGUGUGCAGCCUCCACAAUCUAGUCCUCAGAUGGCUCUAACUAAUCAGGAGCAGUCUAUUGGCAAUGCUGGUGACCACCAUAGUAAGGAUUUUGCUGAAUGCAAUAAAGGCAAGGCAGUGAUUACAAACACAGGAUCUUCUCAUAUUGUAC
This 373-nucleotide long non-coding RNA is filed under the name Nicotiana benthamiana. Its description in RNAcentral is "long non-coding RNA (NBEN_LNC011142)". The record is from RNAcentral. Lineage: Eukaryota; Viridiplantae; Streptophyta; Magnoliopsida; Solanales; Solanaceae.